RNAcentral lists this ribosomal RNA (443 nucleotides) under uncultured bacterium. Its description in RNAcentral is "partial 16S ribosomal RNA". It matches the Rfam family "Bacterial small subunit ribosomal RNA", at positions 338 to 795 of the family's 1533-position model. The record is from RNAcentral.
CCUACGGGGCGCUGCAGUGGGGAAUAUUGGGCAAUGGGCGCAAGCCUGACCCAGCAACGCCGCGUGAAGGAAGAAGGCCCUCGGGUUGUAAACUUCUUUUAUCAAGGACGAAAAAAAUGACGGCACUUGAUGAAUAAGCCACGGCUAACUACGUGCCAGCAGCCGCGGUAAUACGUAGGUGGCAAGCGUUAUCCGGAUUUACUGGGUGUAAAGGGCGUGUAGGCGGGACUGCAAGUCAGAUGUGAAAACCAUGGGCUCAACCCAUGGCCUGCAUUUGAAACUGGCAAACUGGAGUGUGUGAGAGGAUAGUGGAAUUCCAGGUGUAGGAGUGAAAUCCGUAGAUAUCUGGAGGAACAUCAGUGGCGAAGGCGACUAUCUGGCACAUAACUGACGCUGAGGAGCGAAAGCGUGGGUAGCAAACAGGAUUAGAUACCCCUGUAGUC